ACACUCCUAAUAAAACACAUUAAAUCACCUUGUCUAGGUGAAAUCGCAGGCUAAAUCCCUGUAUGUCUUA
This 70-nucleotide transfer RNA is filed under the name Anabarilius liui yalongensis. RNAcentral describes it as "tRNA-Asp". The record is from RNAcentral. Lineage: Eukaryota; Metazoa; Chordata; Actinopteri; Cypriniformes; Xenocyprididae.